This 894-nucleotide ribosomal RNA is filed under the name Macrodiplodiopsis desmazieri. RNAcentral's name for it is "eukaryotic LSU rRNA". It matches the Rfam family "Eukaryotic large subunit ribosomal RNA", at positions 33 to 941 of the family's 3401-position model. The record is from RNAcentral. Lineage: Eukaryota; Fungi; Ascomycota; Dothideomycetes; Pleosporales.
CUUAAGCAUAUCAAUAAGCGGAGGAAAAGAAACCAACUGGGAUUGCCCUAGUAACGGCGAGUGAAGCGGCAAUAGCUCAAAUUUGAAAUCUGGCUCUCUUUGGGGGUCCGAGUUGUAAUUUGCAGAGGGUGCUUUGGCGUUGACGGCGGUCUAAGUUCCUUGGAACAGGACAUCGCAGAGGGUGAGAAUCCCGUUUGUGGUCGCCAGUCUUCACCGUGUAAAGCCCCUUCGACGAGUCGAGUUGUUUGGGAAUGCAGCUCUAAAUGGGAGGUAAAUUUCUUCUAAAGCUAAAUACCGGCCAGAGACCGAUAGCGCACAAGUAGAGUGAUCGAAAGAUGAAAAGCACUUUGGAAAGAGAGUCAAAUAGCACGUGAAAUUGUUGAAAGGGAAGCGCUUGCAGCCAGACUUGCCUGUAGUUGCUCAUCCGGGCUCUUGCCCGGAGCACUCUUCUGCAGGCAGGCCAGCAUCAGUUUGGGCGGCUGGAUAAAGACCUCUGUCAUGUAUCUUCCUUCGGGAUGACCUUAUAGGGGAGGUGUAAUGCAGUCAGCCUGGACUGAGGUCCGCGCAUUUGCUAGGAUGCUGGCGUAAUGGCUGUAAGCGGCCCGUCUUGAAACACGGACCAAGGAGUCUAACAUCUAUGCGAGUGUUUGGGUGUCAAGCCCGGGCGCGCAAUGAAAGUGAACGGAGGUGGGAACCCUCUCGGGGGUGCACCAUCGACCGAUCCUGAUGUCUUCGGAUGGAUUUGAGUAAGAGCAUAGCUGUUGGGACCCGAAAGAUGGUGAACUAUGCUUGAAUAGGGUGAAGCCAGAGGAAACUCUGGUGGAGGCUCGCAGCGCUUCUGACGUGCAAAUCGAUCGUCAAAUUUGGGCAUAGGGGCGAAAGACUAAUCGAACA